CAUGAUUGAUUCUUCCCUUUUCUUGGAAAUUGAUGCUUUUCCCAACAACAACAGCACAGAUUAGAGACCAUUAAAGCAAAGCAAAGGCUGUUGAUAUUUGAUAAGCACAACAAUGACCCUCAGAUAUAAUGUGUAACAGGUACAGUAUGCUUGAUCAAGGUCUUGUUAAGGAAUUGGCGUUUUCAUUUUGGCUGAACUAUAACCCAUAGGAAGAGAAUGGGGGCGAACUUAUUUUUGGAGGUGUUGAUCCUAAUCACUACAAGGGAAAGCACACUUAUGUGCCUGUGUCAAGAAAAGGAUAUUGGAAGUUUGAUAUGGGAAAUAUACUUAUUGGAGACAAAAAUUAAAACUGGAAUUUGUGCUGACAGCUAUUCAGCUAUUGCAGACUCAGGGACUUCUUUGUUGGCAGGUCCAACGGUAUGAAUAAAAUAAG
Molecule: non-coding RNA, 433 nt
Organism: Arachis ipaensis
Lineage: Eukaryota; Viridiplantae; Streptophyta; Magnoliopsida; Fabales; Fabaceae
Source: RefSeq, a predicted model, not a curated record